This 253-nucleotide ribosomal RNA is filed under the name uncultured bacterium. RNAcentral describes it as "partial 16S ribosomal RNA". It matches the Rfam family "Bacterial small subunit ribosomal RNA", at positions 524 to 776 of the family's 1533-position model. The record is from RNAcentral.
UACGUAGGGUCCGAGCGUUGUCCGGAAUUACUGGGCGUAAAGAGCUCGUAGGUGGUUUGUCGUGUUGUUCGUGAAAACUCACAGCUUAACUGUGGGCGUGCGGGCGAUACGGGCAGACUUGAGUACUGCAGGGGAGACUGGAAUUCCUGGUGUAGCGGUGGAAUGCGCAGAUAUCAGGAGGAACACCGGUGGCGAAGGCGGGUCUCUGGGCAGUAACUGACGCUGAGGAGCGAAAGCGUGGGGAGCGAACAGG